GGAAGUGUUGAGCAAUUGGUUGGCUCGCCAGACUGUAAAUCUGGUCCUUAUUAGGCGUGUAGGUUCAAAUCCUACCACUUCCAC
Molecule: transfer RNA, 84 nt
Filed under: Neptunitalea chrysea
Lineage: Bacteria; Pseudomonadati; Bacteroidota; Flavobacteriia; Flavobacteriales; Flavobacteriaceae
Description: tRNA-Tyr
Rfam family: tRNA
About the family: Transfer RNA (tRNA) molecules are approximately 80 nucleotides in length. Their secondary structure includes four short double-helical elements and three loops (D, anti-codon, and T loops). Further hydrogen bonds mediate the characteristic L-shaped molecular structure. tRNAs have two regions of fundamental functional importance: the anti-codon, which is responsible for specific mRNA codon recognition, and the 3' end, to which the tRNAs corresponding amino acid is attached (by aminoacyl-tRNA synthetases). tRNAs cope with the degeneracy of the genetic code in two manners: having more than one tRNA (with a specific anti-codon) for a particular amino acid; and 'wobble' base-pairing, i.e. permitting non-standard base-pairing at the 3rd anti-codon position.
Source: RNAcentral